ACGAACGCUGGCGGCGUGCCUAAUACAUGCCAGUCGCACGCAUUUUCUUUCACCGUAGCUUGCUACACCGAAAGAAAAUGGGUGGCUAACGGGUGAGUAACACGUGGGUAACCUGCCCAUCAGCGGAGGAUAACACUUGGAAACAGGUGCUAAUACCGCAUAAUUCCAUUUACCGCAUGGUAGAUGGGUGAAAGGCGCUUUUGCGUCACUGAUGGAUGGACCCGCGGUGCAUUAGCUAGUUGGUGGGGUAACGGCCUACCAAGGCUGCGAUGCAUAGCCGCACUGAGAGGGUGGUCAGCCAGACUGGGACUGAGACACGGCACAGAGUCAUACGGGAGGCAGCAGUAGGGAAUCUGGGGGAAUGGACGGAAGACUGACCGAGCAACGCCGCGUGAGUGAAGAAGGUUUUCGGAUCGUAAAACUCUGUUGUUAGAGAAGAACAAGGAUGAGAGUGGAAAGUUCAUCCCUUGACGGUAUCUAACCAGAAAGCAACGGCUAACUACGUG
This 506-nucleotide ribosomal RNA is filed under the name uncultured bacterium. Its description in RNAcentral is "partial 16S ribosomal RNA". It matches the Rfam family "Bacterial small subunit ribosomal RNA", at positions 29 to 507 of the family's 1533-position model. The record is from RNAcentral.